UAGGGAAUCUUCGGCAAUGGGGGGAACCCUGACCGAGCAACGCCGCGUGAGUGAAGAAGGCUUUCGGAUCGUAAAGCUCUGUUGUUAAGGAAGAACGAGUGUGAGAAUGGAAAGUUCAUACUGUGACGGUACUUAACCAGAAAGGGACGGCUAACUACGUGCCAGCAGCCGCGGUAAUACGUAGGUCCCGAGGGUUGUCCGGAUUUAUUGGGCGUAAAGCGAGCGCAGGCGGUUAGAUAAGUCUGAAGUUAAAGGCAGUGGCUCAACCAUUGUAGGCUUUGGAAACUGUUUAACUUGAGUGCAGAAGGGGAGAGUGGAAUUCCAUGUGUAGCGGUGAAAUGCGUGGAUAUAUGGAGGAACACCGGUGGCGAAAGCGGCUCUCUGGUCUGUAACUGACGCUGAGGCUCGAAAGCGUGGGGAGCGAACAGG
This 429-nucleotide ribosomal RNA is filed under the name Bacteroidota bacterium. Its description in RNAcentral is "Bacteroidetes bacterium partial 16S ribosomal RNA". It matches the Rfam family "Bacterial small subunit ribosomal RNA", at positions 355 to 776 of the family's 1533-position model. The record is from RNAcentral. Lineage: Bacteria; Pseudomonadati; Bacteroidota.